Molecule: transfer RNA, 72 nt
Filed under: Cavia porcellus (domestic guinea pig)
Lineage: Eukaryota; Metazoa; Chordata; Mammalia; Rodentia; Caviidae
Rfam family: tRNA
About the family: Transfer RNA (tRNA) molecules are approximately 80 nucleotides in length.
Source: Rfam by way of RNAcentral
GGGGAUGUAGCUCAAUGAUAGGGUGUUUGCCUAGUGUGCACAAGGUCCUGAGUUCAAUCCCCAGUACUACCA